UAUUUCCAGGAAUAAUCCGCCCCAACAUCUUCAGUGUUGUGCUCUUGCUAAGCUAUGGAAAU
This 62-nucleotide transfer RNA is filed under the name Artemia sp. RNAcentral's name for it is "tRNA-Phe". The record is from RNAcentral. Lineage: Eukaryota; Metazoa; Arthropoda; Branchiopoda; Anostraca; Artemiidae.